Molecule: ribosomal RNA, 421 nt
Filed under: uncultured bacterium
Lineage: Bacteria
Description: partial 16S ribosomal RNA
Rfam family: Bacterial small subunit ribosomal RNA
Source: RNAcentral
AAUAUUGGACAAUGGGGGCAACCCUGAUCCAGCCAUGCCGCGGGUGUGAAGAAGGUCUUCGGAUGGUAAAGCACUUCAAGUUGGGAGGAAGGGCUUUAGGUUAAUACCCUGAAGUUAUGAAGUUACCAACAGAAUAAGAACCGGCUAACUCUGUUCCAGCAGCCGCGGUAAUACAGAGGGUGCAAGCGUUAAUCGGAAUUACUGGGCGUAAAGCGCGCGUAGGUGGGUCAGUAAGAUGGGUGUGAAAUCCCCGGGCUUAACCUGGGAACUGCUUUCAUAACUGCUGAGCUAGAGUACGGUAGAGGGUAGUGGAAUUUCCUGUGUAGCGGUGAAAUGCGUAGAUAUAGGAAGGAACACCAGUGGUGAAGGCGACUACCUGGACUGAUACUGACACUGAGGUGCGAAAGCGUGGGGAGCAAUC